This 301-nucleotide ribosomal RNA is filed under the name uncultured bacterium. Its description in RNAcentral is "partial 16S ribosomal RNA". It matches the Rfam family "Bacterial small subunit ribosomal RNA", at positions 509 to 807 of the family's 1533-position model. The record is from RNAcentral.
CAGUAGCCGCGGUAAUACGGAGGGAGCUAGCGUUGUUCGGAAUUACUGGGCGUAAAGCGCGCGUAGGCGGUUACUCAAGUCAGAGGUGAAAGCCCGGGGCUCAACCCCGGAACUGCCUUUGAAACUAGGUGACUAGAAUCUUGGAGAGGUCAGUGGAAUUCCGAGUGUAGAGGUGAAAUUCGUAGAUAUUCGGAAGAACACCAGUGGCGAAGGCGACUGACUGGACAAGUAUUGACGCUGAGGUGCGAAAGCGUGGGGAGCAAACAGGAUUAGAUACCCCAGUAGUCCCUGUCUCUUAGAC